UACGUGGGGGGCAAGCGUUGUCCGGAAUCAUUGGGCGUAAAGAGCGUGUAGGCGGCUUGGUAAGUCCGCUGUGAAAGUCCAGGGCUCAACCCUGGAAUGCCGGUGGAAACUGCCAAGCUUGAGUCCGGAAGAGGCGAGUGGAAUUCCUGGUGUAGCGGUGAAAUGCGCAGAUAUCAGGAGGAACACCAAUGGCGAAGGCAGCUCGCUGGGACGGUACUGACGCUGAGACGCGAAAGCGUGGGGAGCAAACAGG
This 253-nucleotide ribosomal RNA is filed under the name uncultured bacterium. RNAcentral describes it as "partial 16S ribosomal RNA". It matches the Rfam family "Bacterial small subunit ribosomal RNA", at positions 524 to 776 of the family's 1533-position model. The record is from RNAcentral.